UCGGCGCACGGGAGAAACAGCGUUGCCUCUGAGGCAAUCCCUUCGGUGGGUCCUGGUGGUCCUUCCCCUCCGCGCUCCGCCGACGUAGUGUGUACCGAGCCCUGCUUGGCGGGUCGGGCCAGGACGACGGUCUUUGCCAAUCUCUCAAGGUUAGGUGCUCUGCAGAUGGACGCAAAGGUAAACUCGAUGUCAACGCGAGGCUCCGCCGACGGCGGGUGCUAACCGCGGUGGUGCCCCGCCCUUCUCAUCCACACCCGAGAUAGCGGCCCUGUAUGGUCGGGAGCACUUAGCAGCUUAGCACCCGCCGUGCUGCGGCUCCUGAUGCUGCUGCUGCUGCUGCUGCUGCUGCUGCCGCCGCUGCAUGGCCACUUGCAGGCACUCAGCGUUAUUCCGAGGACAAAGUUUUUAAGGGCGGAUGGCUUGUUUUCUUCCACACUGCUGUUAAAGAAGAGGGGAGUGAGGAUGCCUCUUACUCGACGAGAUCAGCAGCAGAUUAUACUUCAACACCAUCAGCCGACUGCUGACAUUUUUAUCCCCACCAACGUUUCCCGUCCAUCGGCUUUGGCUUCCGGCUCGACCCCGCCACGGGGGCAGUAUCAAUCACUGGGACAGACUGCGGCUGCGGCCUGCUUCGACUGUGAUUCGACUCGACUGGAACACGAGCAGCCAUCGCUUGGAACAGGAGGACAGGGUCGCCUAUUUCCUCGCCAGUAGAACGCAGUGGCGACUUCGAGGAUAGCCGAUGGACAGAACGAGGAUCCCAGGCACUAUGGACGCAGAGUUACUUUCCUUGCCGGUGAGGAUCGAGGACCCCCGACGCGCGAGCGGUCGGGCGCCCGUGAGGUAGGCCGUCGUGCGGCGUGGGUGUCUUGCGGGUCGGCCUACCCCGGACUUCGCAGGCGCCGUGGUCCAGAUGAGCCGCCGCGGGACGAGUCCACAGCAGCCCAGGUCAUAAAACUUGCAACGCGCUGCUUGAGGUGUGGCCCUGCGGCCCGCUGCCGGACAAGUUGACAUGCGAGGGCCCCCCGGAGGACGCCGGUGGUGGCGGGGCGGGCCAAGGAGGAGCCGAGGUCGUGCAUCUGGGGCCGCGUUGGCGUUCGGGCCGGGGCACAGAAAGGAUACAUCGAACAGAGCAGCCGGUAUCCUCCGAGCGCUCGCCGUCGGCCGAGGCGAUUAGAAGGAAGACUUGCGAGGAGACAGAAGUUUGUGGCUCGCCCGUCGUCCUGUGCUGCUCUGCGCCGCAAUUAGCGACGAGUAUUGGCACUGCGGCUGCGGGAGGCCCGGGGCCGCCCGGCCGGGCCUCUACACCACCGCUCUGCGCAGCGCGGCGAGACGCCCGACUUGGCCGCCGCACCCGUCUGCUCGGGAGGUAAGUUU
This is a long non-coding RNA of Frankliniella occidentalis (western flower thrips), 1377 nucleotides long. RefSeq lists it as uncharacterized. The record is from RefSeq and is a predicted model, not a curated record. NCBI's taxonomy places the organism in Eukaryota, Metazoa, Arthropoda, Insecta, Thysanoptera, Thripidae. The transcript is spliced from 5 exons.